AAGGUUUAGUUUACAACAUGCGGACGCUCAUGCCAUACAAAAAUCAAAAGAGCAUGAAACACAAUUUAGGCAUAACAACGCCACGUAUUCUCAAUGUUUCCACCCCAUAUGGUUCAUUCGUACUAAUUUUCUCUAUAUUUUCAAUUGAUACAAUAUUUAAACAUCUUUAAUUUACACAAAUAUGUCCUAUUACAUGGGCCUUCAGGAUUCGAGUAAUAUUUAAUAGUUAGAGUCGGAGGCAUUCGUAUUUCAUAGUCCGAAGUGAAAUUUUUUUAUUUAUGAAAAAAGAACAAGUGCAAAGCAUUUGCCAAGGAUGUUUUCAUUAUUCAAGAACGGAAGUGAGGGGCUCAAAGUUCAUCAUAUACCGUCCUAGUCUCAACCAUAAAUAGUGUUGACCAGGGAUCGACAUAUUUUGCUUUUAGGACUCUACCAGCACAUUAUGAGAAACCAUAGUUUUUGGGUU
RNAcentral lists this non-coding RNA (463 nucleotides) under Solanum tuberosum (potato). RNAcentral describes it as "Eukaryotic small subunit ribosomal RNA". It matches the Rfam family "Eukaryotic small subunit ribosomal RNA", at positions 662 to 1113 of the family's 1831-position model. Lineage: Eukaryota; Viridiplantae; Streptophyta; Magnoliopsida; Solanales; Solanaceae. The record is from Rfam by way of RNAcentral.